UCUGGUAGUUAUGGCGAGAAGGUCACACCCGUUCCCAUCCCGAACACGGUAGUUAAGCUUCUCUGCGCCAAUGGUAGUUGGGGGG
This 85-nucleotide ribosomal RNA is filed under the name Listeria monocytogenes. Lineage: Bacteria; Bacillati; Bacillota; Bacilli; Caryophanales; Listeriaceae. The record is from RNAcentral.